UGUAUCUGAAGCCUGACGAGGAUGAGAACCUCCGGGGGCAAGAGGUUCGACCCGAGCGAAGCGAGAGAACGUUGCGUCAGCAACGGCCCGCAGGGCGAGCCA
Molecule: small RNA, 102 nt
Filed under: Salmonella enterica
Lineage: Bacteria; Pseudomonadati; Pseudomonadota; Gammaproteobacteria; Enterobacterales; Enterobacteriaceae
Also listed under: 2 other names
Description: partial RtT sRNA
Rfam family: RtT RNA
About the family: This family represents a bacterial cis-regulatory element known as RtT RNA. The exact function of RtT is unknown although it is thought that it may be involved in changing the cellular response in relation to amino acid starvation.
Source: RNAcentral